RNAcentral lists this small RNA (742 nucleotides) under Pongo abelii (Sumatran orangutan). RNAcentral's name for it is "processed transcript". Lineage: Eukaryota; Metazoa; Chordata; Mammalia; Primates; Hominidae. The record is from RNAcentral.
AGAUUUCUCUGUCUGGCUCUUGAUUAUGCAGUUCAGGAGCUAUUUCUUGCCUCUUAGAGGGACUCUCUAAGAAGCCCCUAUCUCUCAGAGGGAAAGUCUCUCAGAACCCCAACCCUAGAUCAGUUGGGAUGAUUAUCUGGGAUUUUUUGUUUCCCAUUAAGGAGUGAUUCCUCUGCAUCGAGGAGGUUAGUCAUGUAUUGACUGCAGUGGCAUUUCUUAUAAGAUCUCAAAGCGUUGUUGCUGCUGUUGUUGUUUUAAGAUUAUUUGUUCUUUAGAACAUGUCUGUGAGGUAGAUUUAGUGUAUUCGUUAUUUUUAUUUUACUGAUGGAUAAACUAAAGCAGAACAAGUUUAAUGACAUAUCCAAGGCCAGAAAGAAACGUGCUUACAAGAGCUAUGUUCGAGCCCUCCCUCUGCUGAAGAAAAUGGGGAUCAAUUCCAUUCUCCUCCGAAAAAGCAUUGGUGCCCUUGAAGUGGCCUGUGGCAUCGUCAUGACCCUUGUGCCCGGGCGUCCCAAAGAUGUGGCCAACUUCUUCCUACUCUUGCUGGUGUUGGCUGUGCUCUUCUUCCACCAGCUGGUCGGUGAUCCUCUCAAACGCUACGCCCAUGCUCUGGUAUUUGGAAUCCUGCUCACCUGCCGCCUGCUGAUUGCUCGCAAGCCUGAAGACCGGUCUUCUGAGAAGAAGCCUUUGCCAGGAAAUGCUGAGGAGCAACCCUCCUUAUAUGAGAAGGCCCCUCAGGGCA